RNAcentral lists this unclassified non-coding RNA (259 nucleotides) under air metagenome. RNAcentral describes it as "partial contains small subunit ribosomal RNA, internal transcribed spacer 1, and 5.8S ribosomal RNA". The stretch from base 1 to 46 matches the Rfam family "Eukaryotic small subunit ribosomal RNA", at positions 1786 to 1831 of the family's 1831-position model. The record is from RNAcentral.
AAGUCGUAACAAGGUCUCCGUUGGUGAACCAGCGGAGGGAUCAUUAUCGAGUAUCUUUCUUACUCUAAACCCCUGUGAACUUACCAGUUUUGUUGCUUCGGCGGGCUGCGCCUCUCGACGUCUCCCUCCCCCCUCGGGGGCAGGCUGCCGUCCGGGGCGCGCUACGGCCCGCCGGGGGUCUCAAACUCUAUUAUUACGGAUAUUCUGAAGUAAAAAUAUAAAUAAAUCAAAACUUUUAACAACGGAUCUCUUGGUUCUG